UUUCCUACGGGGGGCAGCAGUGGGGAAUAUUGCACAAUGGGGGAAACCCUGAUGCAGCGACGCCGCGUGAGUGAAGAAGUAUUUCGGUAUGUAAAGCUCUAUCAGCAGGGAAGAAAAUGACGGUACCUGACUAAGAAGCCCCGGCUAACUACGUGCCAGCAGCCGCGGUAAUACGUAGGGGGCAAGCGUUAUCCGGAUUUACUGGGUGUAAAGGGAGCGUAGGCGGCGAUGCAGGUCAGAAGUGAAAGCCCGGGGCUCAACUCCGGGACUGCUUUUGAAACUGUGUUGCUAGAUUGCAGGAGAGG
Molecule: ribosomal RNA, 305 nt
Filed under: uncultured bacterium
Lineage: Bacteria
Description: bacterial SSU rRNA
Rfam family: Bacterial small subunit ribosomal RNA
Source: RNAcentral